Molecule: RNA transcript, 1756 nt
Organism: Choloepus didactylus (southern two-toed sloth)
Lineage: Eukaryota; Metazoa; Chordata; Mammalia; Pilosa; Megalonychidae
Gene: NMRK1
Gene name: nicotinamide riboside kinase 1
Exons: 9
Source: RefSeq, a predicted model, not a curated record
CAGGGCCGCGCGCGCCCCCGACGAAAAAGGGCUGGACCUUGUGGGGGCCGUGCGCGUGCGGCCUCGCUCGCCGGAGCUCCGCCUUCCGGUCCCAACGCGUGGCUGGACGUCCGCUUGGGUUGGAAGGGUCCUCUGGGUGGUGACUUGCACCUGGUCUCCUUCUGACCCGGAGAGGGCAAGGGGCUGUGGAGGCGGGUUAGCGAGCUGCGGGUGGCCGCGGGUUAGUUUUCGGGCGCGCGCUUAGUAAUCGUUUCCACUGCUCUGCUUGGAAAGACUCGAACUGAGACGCCAGGUAAUUUUAGGAAGACGUGAUUUUCAAAGCUAAUUAUGAAAACAUUUGUCGUAGGAAUCAGUGGAGUGACAAAUGGUGGGAAGACAACAUUGGCCAAGAAUUUGCAGAAACACCUCCCAAAUUGCAGUGUCAUAUCUCAGGAUGAUUUCUUUAAGCCAGAGUCUGAGAUAGAGACAGAUGAAAAUGGAUUUUUGCAGUAUGAUGUGCUUGAAGCGCUUAACAUGGAAAAAAUGAUGUCGGCCGUUUCCUGCUGGAUGGAAAGCCCGAGACACACUCUGGUAUUGACAGACAGGGAAAAUGCUGAGGAAAAUCCCAUUUUAAUCAUCGAAGGUUUCCUUCUCUUUAAUUAUAAGCCCCUUGACCCUCUCUGGAACAGAAGCUAUUUUCUGGCCAUUCCCUAUGAAGAAUGUAAAAGGAGGAGGAGUUUCCUAUGUGUUUUGAUAGUACAAGGGUCUACGAGCCCCCAGAUCCCCCAGGGUACUUUGACGGUCAUGUGUGGCCCAUGUAUCUAAAACACAGAAGGGAAAUAGAGGACAUCACGUGGGAAAUUGUUUACCUAGAUGGAACAAAAUCUGAAGAGGACCUCUUUUCAGAAGUGUAUGAAGAUCUAAAACAAGAACUAGCAAAGCAGAAGUGUUUAUAAGUAACAGCAUGAAGAUGGAAUGCAUUGAAUCCUUCCUGGGGUGAAUUAGGAAAUUCAAAGAAAUGUAUUCAAGAACUUUAACCAUGAUACAAUAUAUACUGUGGCACAAUGACAGCUGUUGUCUGUUUGUUUUUAAUGCCAUGUAGAGCAGUAAAUAGUUAUCAUGCCAAUAGACAGGAAUUUACCUUAAUGAGUAGUUCUCAUUUUAGGGAGUGCAUAGAUAUAACACAGAGUACAGAAAACUAAUCAGUUGCUCUAUACCAAUGGUUUUCACACUUUUCUGAUUGGAACAGAGUAAGAUAUAAAGUUUACAUCACAGUCCAGUAUAUGUACAAUCUAUUGUGUGUGUGUGUAUGUGUAUAUGAAUACACAUACAUACAUAUCAAGUAUCAUAAAACAUUUACAUACAAUGCACUCUGAUAGUUUUUUUUUUAGUGUUGGUUUCAACCCACACUUUGGAAAAUGCUGCUCUCUCGCAUCCCAUGCUAACACACACUAAAUGCAAAUGACAGCAUAGCUGGGAAUAAUACAUUGAGUAAAUCAACAGUUUACUACAGUUUUUGUUUUUACAUGUGUCUAAUUCUACUGUAUCAUUGUGUCAUUUAUGUUGAGACUUUGUUACAGAUGAGGGGGGUUCCCUGUGUUUUUUUGUUUUUGUGAAACCAGUGGUCUAAAAUCACAGAAAUAAAUAGUUGCUUCAAUGAUAUAUAUAUAGCACAGAGGACUUUUUUUUUUUUGAAAAGCAUGGGCAGGAGAUCCAAAUUGUGUGAUUUUCUUUUUUUUUGAGAACUCUUUCAAUGCUGGAGCUUAAAUUAUGUCCU